UCCUUGUUCCUCCCAGAAAGAGAGAGAGAGGGAGAGUGAGUGUGACGGCACGCAGCGUGCCGAAGUGGAUGAUGGACAGCUCGGUUUGGUCCUGCCUGGACAAGCGCCGCCAAGUCAAAGCGGCCUCCCGCCCUCGCCAAACUGCCUGGACGAUCACCGCCAGUCUAAGCGGCCUACCGCCCCGCCAAGCAGCCCAGCGCCGGCGAAUCUCCAACCCUAAUCCCGUUCGCCCUGUUCCGCCUCCCAGGGCAGCACAGGUGGCGGAACCGCCACCGCCGACGCCAAGUCCCUUUCCUCCUCCUGCUCCUGCUCCUCCUUCUCUCAUUCCCCUUCUAUUCCUCCUUCCGCCCUUCUUCCUUCCUUCCCAGACUGAUGGACCACCUGACUUGCAGGGUCCUGCGUCUCCCGCGCCCGACGAUGCACCUCGCAGAUCUUGAUUUCUCGCCGAGUUGUCGAAGAGGGUUAUCGAUUUGACGGAGUUGAGGAAGCUGGCGGCGCAGGGGGUGCCUGAUUCUUGCGGAAUUCGGUCAAUUGUGUGGAAGUAAUAGGUUCUUUUGGGGUAUUGGCCGUGCAAUCCAGAAAUUUGACCAGAUGAAAUGAGGGAAAAAAGGCUCGGUACGACGCCUAAGGAGCAGCUGCUGAUUAAUCCUGCAGUCAGAAGACUCAGAACUUACAAGAAGACUAUGACUAUCCUCUGGCACCGAAAACGACAAUGCAAAGAGUGAAGGAAGGGAUCUGCUGCAUAGGUCGGAGGACACUCAUGGCGAACACCCUUUGAGUCUUGGAAAAACUAGUCUCAACAACUCCAAUCCUACCACCGACCAGUACCAGAAGAAACUCGAGCGUUAGAUGGUGAACGGUGAGUGCAUGUCUCUCUUGGUUUUAUUCCGCAUCAAGCUGCAGUUGGGGAUCCCCUGUUCUCCCUCUUGCUAGAUUGUUUUCUUUUCUGUUCCGUUUUUUGCACCAUUUUCUAGCAUUUCUUUGCUGUUUAUUUUUGCACCAUUAUGUAACAUUUGCAUCAUUUGGAUUGGGUUUUGGGACACAUUACUGUAAAGUGUUGAGCUUGGAUCAAACAGUCCCAUUUUCUUUAUAUUCUUUACAUUCUCUGUUGUGUUUUCGACAGUUACAGAUCAAUACAGUCUCAUUGUCUUAUAUAGUCGUGUUUUUCUUUCUUUAUAGAAACUGUAACACCGCGCUCUCCUGCAUCGUUUUUUACACUAGAAGUAUUAUGCUACAUAAAGAAUGAACGGCAGUGGGUGUCAAAUGUGACAUGGGAGAACAUAAUGGACCAUUUGUGUGAUGGUUUACGAACCAGUGUUUCUGAUAAUUAAUUGUUUGGAAGUAUAGCUAUUACGUUUUCUCAUUAAUCUAGGAAUACAAUUAACAUCAAGAUGUAUAUGACUCUGGGUAACUCUGUAGUUGUGUUUUCUGUAAUUGCUUAACCUAUAUGAAGAAGAUAAGUAUCUUCCCCAAGCAUCCGGUAGUAUCUAAACCAUUCUUUAGUAUAUAAAUGUUCGGAGCCUUCUCCAUAAGAAGACAUGCUUCAAUAUUCACUACCACAAAGGUGUCUUCUGGAAACCUCUGUUGACGUGCUUUUUGAGAAGAUGCUGCAUCAUUCUGUGAUCCUGCUUUGUGCCUGACACUUUAAAUCAUCCAUGCAUGUGAAAUCAUGUACACAUGUGUCUUAGUGUUUCAGUUACCCUUCUGUGUUAUUAUUGGGUAUGCAGCUAGAUUUCAAGCUCCACUCUAUCUCACUCCUUCGUUUUGGGGCUGUAUUCUAUUUCUCAGGACUUCAGGGGUCUUUGAAGUAGUGUGAUGUGAUAAACAAGGAUUUUCUGUGAUGCAAAAAUGUGUAGUUGAGUUCAUGUUUAUUUGCUGCUACUUGAGGUAGGACAGUUAUUACUGGGAUGGAUGUGACUCAUGGAAAGCUGCUGUAUUUAUGGUUACUUUGUCUUCAGACAUCUUGUUUUCAAUGGGUAUGGUCAUGGUGGGUGCAAUAGCAAGUACAAGGAAAUCUAUCUCUUGCUGCAUUUUAGCGGUGUUGUCUGUGCUGAACUUAAUUUUUCGUGAAGUGUGAAAUUGAUCUCCCUAACUGACAUGGAAAAAAGUAAUAUAGCGAGAGGCUCCUUUUCAGAGAAGAACAUGGGUGCAUGUGCAACAAGGAUAUAUAUAUAUAUACACACACACACACACACUCACACGCUCACAUGCAACUAACAAGCUAUGAGUCUACCAAUCGUUUAACUCAAACAGAAAAAAAAAAAAAAUGGCCAUUGCCGCACCCAAGCUGCAUUAUGGCAAUACUUCUGAAGAGUCUGUAUGUCUUAGAGGAGGUCCAAAUGGGGCAUCAAAGGUCAGGACUAAAGCAGAUUUCUGAUGGUAUGCCAACAAUAAAUGUCGAACUUACAAGAGAACCUUUUCCUAUUAGCAGCUGGCAGUUUGUCUCUUAUUAAAUUCAUAAAUAAUCAAUUUACGGAACCAUGGCUAAAGACGGGCUUUUCUAACUAGCCGUUCCAUUUCUUCUUCCAAAUUGGUGUAUUUUUUAAGGUUCGUUUGCCAAACUGGUUAUUUAAGCAAUUAAGGUAUGAUAUAUGAUUUAUGUAGGGAGUGAAGGUCCCUGUUUCAUACAGGUCAAGGUUGUAGUUCCUUGACGUUUGUGGUCUGCUGAUGUCCAAGCUGUGCAGUUCGAGGGGUGUGGUGUUGGCUCGGAUGCACCUGUCUGAAACUCCUUACCAGAUUCAACCUGUCUGAUGAUACUGUUGACCACAGAAACUUGGGCUCAUGUUCUGCGGAUGCAUUGACAGGUAAAAAGUUCAGAAAAGUUCCAUAAAAAAAAAUGGCUUCUUCAAUCUUCAAAACUGCACAGGGAUGGAGCGGGUUGCCGGAAGAUGAUAACCAAGGCUUAAGCUGAGGUGGCAAAGUAUCAGAAGCUUACUGGUAAAAAGCUUGUAGUGGCAUGGUGAGUGCUGAAUCCGGACCAGCAAAAUGAAGAUCCAGGCUUUCUGCUGAGCCAUCUUUACCUGCUUUCUCUAACGUGCUUUUAAAAAUUUGAACAGAAUCAAUUUCAAAAAGUUUUUAUAUUAAAUCUGUAUCAUGAUCACUUAGAUGAGAUUGAAAAGGUAGUUGAUGUUUAACUUCAACCUAGAGCUCAUUGCAGCAGGUUUAUCUAUUUAACUAAUUACAGUAUUGGAUCCUCGUGGAGAAGAUGAACUCAUUGUAGUCAUAUUUUUGCUGUUAUACCUGUCUCAAAUAAUUUUUCUCUCUCAUUCUUUC
This is a long non-coding RNA of Nymphaea colorata (pocket water lily), 3273 nucleotides long. RefSeq lists it as uncharacterized. The record is from RefSeq and is a predicted model, not a curated record. Lineage: Eukaryota; Viridiplantae; Streptophyta; Magnoliopsida; Nymphaeales; Nymphaeaceae. The transcript is spliced from 5 exons.